Eufriesea mexicana is the source of this 440-nucleotide long non-coding RNA. RefSeq lists it as uncharacterized. The record is from RefSeq and is a predicted model, not a curated record. The transcript is spliced from 2 exons. NCBI's taxonomy places the organism in Eukaryota, Metazoa, Arthropoda, Insecta, Hymenoptera, Apidae.
GUCAAAAAUGGUCUUUUCUUAACAUCCUCCUUUGAGAAUAAUCGAACAUUUGAUAAUCAGACAACGUGAGAGGUGAAAGACGUAAGAACAACUAGAGGCCGACGUGAACGUCAAAGUCGAAAGAUAUAUGAAUGAUUGAUGAAAAUCGAAAGUUAGCUAAAGGAUUGACUAAUUAAAUAGGACCAAGGGCGUUCCCAUGGUCCACGAAUCGGUCAACUUAAAAAGAGAAAAAAUCCCUCACCGAAGACCGUGAUGGAAGAACAUCUUCCCUCAAGAUGUCGUGCAUGAAGAUUAACCGCGCGUUGACGACUCUAUCGAGGAGAGUAGAAACUAUGUACCUCGUGGGCCACUAGUUCCCCAGACAUGACCUAAGACUUGUCAUGCUGGUCGAGAACUUUUCAGGAUUCCUCAAUAAUUGGUUAUGUUAAAAACAAUAAAAA